This 315-nucleotide long non-coding RNA is filed under the name Pogona vitticeps (central bearded dragon). RNAcentral describes it as "lncRNA (ENSPVIG00000009680.1)". Lineage: Eukaryota; Metazoa; Chordata; Lepidosauria; Squamata; Agamidae. The record is from RNAcentral.
UUUUAGAGACUCUCCGGCCGGCAGCGGCCAACAGCAGGCAGGCGUCCGAGUAGUCCUCCUACUCUCAUCGGGGAGGAGGAGAAAAAGGAGUAAAAAAGAAAUCUGGCACUGGCUGAGAAUUAUUUUGGAUGCCGUGUGCAACCCUCUUCCCCUUUUGAGGCCCAGUUAGUGCUGACACUGGCUUCAGGAAGUAAAUCUUUGCUUAUCUUGAUUCCCUGCAGAAGAAUGAGCUACCACACUUUUUUGGGUGUAUAAACAAUGUGAGUCACACAAAUUGGACGGAGUCCUGAGACUGGUGCUUUCUUUCCUUGACUU